Transfer RNA from Methanopyrus kandleri AV19, 74 nucleotides. It matches the Rfam family "tRNA". From Rfam's summary of the family: Transfer RNA (tRNA) molecules are approximately 80 nucleotides in length. Their secondary structure includes four short double-helical elements and three loops (D, anti-codon, and T loops). Lineage: Archaea; Methanobacteriati; Methanobacteriota; Methanopyri; Methanopyrales; Methanopyraceae. The record is from Rfam.
GGCCCCGCAGUCUAGCCUGGAUAGGACGCGGGCCUGCGGAGCCCGUAGCCCGGGUUCAAAUCCCGGCGGGGCCA